This 550-nucleotide ribosomal RNA is filed under the name Aspergillus fumigatus. RNAcentral describes it as "eukaryotic LSU rRNA". The stretch from base 182 to 335 matches the Rfam family "5.8S ribosomal RNA". Lineage: Eukaryota; Fungi; Ascomycota; Eurotiomycetes; Eurotiales; Aspergillaceae. The record is from RNAcentral.
ACGAGCGAGGCCUCUGGGUCACCUCCCACCCGUGUCUAUCGUACCUUGUUGCUUCGGCGGGCCCGCCGUUUCGACGGCCGCCGGGGAGGCCUUGCGCCCCCGGGCCCGCGCCCGCCGAAGACCCCAACAUGAACGCUGUUCUGAAAGUAUGCAGUCUGAGUUGAUUAUCGUAAUCAGUUAAAACUUUCAACAACGGAUCUCUUGGUUCCGGCAUCGAUGAAGAACGCAGCGAAAUGCGAUAAGUAAUGUGAAUUGCAGAAUUCAGUGAAUCAUCGAGUCUUUGAACGCACAUUGCGCCCCCUGGUAUUCCGGGGGGCAUGCCUGUCCGAGCGUCAUUGCUGCCCUCAAGCACGGCUUGUGUGUUGGGCCCCCGUCCCCCUCUCCCGGGGGACGGGCCCGAAAGGCAGCGGCGGCACCGCGUCCGGUCCUCGAGCGUAUGGGGCUUUGUCACCUGCUCUGUAGGCCCGGCCGGCGCCAGCCGACACCCAACUUUAUUUUUCUAAGGUUGACCUCGGAUCAGGUAGGGAUACCCGCUGAACUUAAGCAUAUC